CGACAUACUGAUUUCAAGUGAAGAUUUAAUCACCUAAUGAAACGAAACCAUUUCUUAAAUAAAUGACAGCUAAAACCUGAAAGGAAUAUGGCUUCAGAUCUAUACAGAACUCGAACGAAUUUUGUAGUCACAUAUAAUAAUUUUAGCUAAGUAAGUAACGUUAAUGGCAAGUCGUGAUUUUCUUAUGAUACGAAUAACAGUUUAAUGUCACCUGUUGCGGGCAGUGAAU
This 229-nucleotide long non-coding RNA is filed under the name Solanum tuberosum (potato). Its description in RNAcentral is "long non-coding RNA (STUB_LNC008668)". The record is from RNAcentral. Lineage: Eukaryota; Viridiplantae; Streptophyta; Magnoliopsida; Solanales; Solanaceae.